GAUGAACGCUGGCGGCGUGCCUAAUACAUGCAAGUCGAGCGAACAGAUGAGGAGCUUGCUCCUCUGACGUUAGCGGCGGACGGGUGAGUAACACGUGGAUAACCUACCUAUAAGACUGGGAUAACUUCGGGAAACCGGAGCUAAUACCGGAUAAUAUAUUGAACCGCAUGGUUCAAUAGUGAAAGACGGGUUUGCUGUCACUUAUAGAUGGAUCCGCGCCGCAUUAGCUAGUUGGUAAGGUAACGGCUUACCAAGGCAACGAUGCGUAGCCGACCUGAGAGGGUGAUCGGCCACACUGGAACUGGGACACGGUCCAGACGCCUACGGGAGGCAGCAGUAGGGAAUCUUCCGCAAUGGGCGAAAGCCUGACGGAGCAACGCCGCGUGAGUGAUGAAGGUCUUCGGAUCGUAAAACUCUGUUAUUAGGGAAGAACAAAUGUGUAAGUAACUAUGCACGUCUUGACGGUACCUAAUCAGAAAGCCACGGCUAACUACGUG
RNAcentral lists this ribosomal RNA (497 nucleotides) under uncultured bacterium. RNAcentral's name for it is "partial 16S ribosomal RNA". It matches the Rfam family "Bacterial small subunit ribosomal RNA", at positions 28 to 507 of the family's 1533-position model. The record is from RNAcentral.